AUACAGAGGGUGCAAGCGUUAAUCGGAUUUACUGGGCGUAAAGCGCGCGUAGGUGGCUAAUUAAGUCAAAUGUGAAAUCCCCGAGCUUAACUUGGGACUUGCAUUCGAUACUGGUUAGCUAGAGUAUGGGAGAGGAUGGUAGAAUUCCAGGUGUAGCGGUGAAAUGCGUAGAGAUCUGGAGGAAUACCGAUGGCGAAGGCAGCCAUCUGGCCUAAUACUGACACUGAGGUGCGAAAGCAUGGGGAGCAAACAGGAUUAGAUACCCUGGUAGUCCAUGCCGUAAACGAUGUCUACUAGCCGUUGGGGCCCUUGAGGCUUUAGUGGCGCAGCUAACGCGAUAAGUAGACCGCCUGGGGAGUACGGUCGCAAGACUAAAACUCAAAUGAAUUGACGGGG
RNAcentral lists this ribosomal RNA (396 nucleotides) under uncultured bacterium. RNAcentral describes it as "partial 16S ribosomal RNA". It matches the Rfam family "Bacterial small subunit ribosomal RNA", at positions 523 to 918 of the family's 1533-position model. The record is from RNAcentral.